Molecule: long non-coding RNA, 732 nt
Filed under: Homo sapiens (human)
Lineage: Eukaryota; Metazoa; Chordata; Mammalia; Primates; Hominidae
Description: long intergenic non-protein coding RNA 2884
Source: RNAcentral
GCUCUCUUUGGCUGUUGGCCCUCCCAGGCAGAGUCCACUGGCUGUUAGGGUGAAAUGGGGCUGAUGCUUCCUGGAAUCCACCAGAAGUAUGCAAAUUGCACCAUCUCUUUCAGCUGCCUGCGCCUGCAUUCCAUCGAGGAUUCCGGGUGGAACUAAUCAAAAGAUACAUCUUUCUAAGAAGAGGAGAGGACACAGAGAGACACACAGAGAAGGUGAUGACAAUGAUGAGAAGACGGAGGCGGAGAUUGGAGUGAUGAUGCAUCUACAAGCCAGGGAACAUCAAGGACUGCCAGCAACCACCAGAAGCCAGGAGAGAGGCAUGAGACAGUUCUUCCUCCUAUCCUUCAGAAGAAAUCAACUCUACUGACACCAUGAUUUUGGAUUUUGGCCUCCUAAAAUGAGGCUGAGUGACUUGGGCAAUGAUUCAGCAAUACCAACUGUGAACUCUCAAUGACUUGGGCUAAUGAGAAGAAUGACAUGGAUAAUCUAAAAAUAAUGGACAACUGGAAAAAACAUCAGCCUGCUUGUGGAGCACACCAGGUCAUGAUUUCUGCAGUGGGGGAGGAGCUGAUUUGCUUCAUUCAUUCUAGAACCUCUAUUCUAGCUGAUGUUAAAUCUGGUUGUUUUUGAGAGCACUCAUAGCCAUCAUGCCCAUCUCUGUAUCACAGGGGUUUGGGAAAAGAAACUCUUCUGGCCAAGGAUGGAAGAAUAAAAACAUAACUGAGUUCCAGA